Cervus elaphus (red deer) is the source of this 150-nucleotide long non-coding RNA. RefSeq lists it as uncharacterized. The transcript is spliced from 3 exons. NCBI's taxonomy places the organism in Eukaryota, Metazoa, Chordata, Mammalia, Artiodactyla, Cervidae. The record is from RefSeq and is a predicted model, not a curated record.
UUUUGAACUGUGAGGCAAAGAAAAGUGUUAGUAACUCAGCUAUGUCCGACUCUUUGUGACCCCAUGGACUAUAGCCCUGCCAGGCUCCUCUGUCCAUGGGAUUCUCCAGCAAUAAUACUGGAGUGGGUAGCCAUUCCCUUUUCCAGGGGC